CCUACAAGUGACCCCUGGGUGGUGCAAAACGGGA
Molecule: small RNA, 34 nt
Filed under: Bombyx mori (domestic silkworm)
Lineage: Eukaryota; Metazoa; Arthropoda; Insecta; Lepidoptera; Bombycidae
Description: ovarian small RNA-2609
Source: RNAcentral